GACGAACGCUGGCGGCGUGCUUAACACAUGCAAGUCGAACGGAAAGGCCCUGCUCUUGUGGGGUGCUCGAGUGGCGAACGGGUGCGUAACACGUGAGUAACCUGCCCUUGACUUUGGGAUAACUUUAGGAAACUGGGGCUAAUACCGGAUAGGAGCUCCUGCUGCAUGGUGGGGGUUGGAAAGUUUCGGCGGUUGGGGAUGGACUCGCGGCUUAUCAGCUUGUUGGUGGGGUAGUGGCUUACCAAGGCUUUGACGGGUAGCCGGCCUGAGAGGGUGACCGGCCACAUUGGGACUGAGAGACGGCCCAGACUCCUACGGGAGGCAGCAGUGGGGAGUAUUGCACAAUGGGCGGAAGCCUGAUGCAGCACCGCCGCGUGCGGGAUGACGGCCUUCGGGUUGUAUACCGCUUUCGCCGGUGACGAGGCGUGAGUGACGGUAAUGGGUAAAGAAGCACCGGCUAACUACGUG
Molecule: ribosomal RNA, 468 nt
Filed under: uncultured bacterium
Lineage: Bacteria
Description: partial 16S ribosomal RNA
Rfam family: Bacterial small subunit ribosomal RNA
Source: RNAcentral